Molecule: long non-coding RNA, 5886 nt
Filed under: Chlamydomonas reinhardtii
Lineage: Eukaryota; Viridiplantae; Chlorophyta; Chlorophyceae; Chlamydomonadales; Chlamydomonadaceae
Description: long non-coding RNA (CREI_LNC001250)
Source: RNAcentral
GUCCUUCAGCGUGGCCAUGACGUCGGCCUGGAUGCGGUUGCAAAUCACGUCCAGGGGAAGGAUGCUGCAGGCAGGGGUGAAGACGAGUGAGGGGCGAGGUCAACGUGCUGAGAAGGGGCAGAGACAGGAACGGCAAGAAUCAGAACACGAUGCUGCAGGCAAUAGCCAGACACGCCCUGUCUCAGCAGACCGCAAGUCCUUAUCACUGUAGGUCUGUAGGCGGCCGCCUGGUUGACAGCCCGCAGCAACCACCCCGCUUUGACCUGCCUAGACUCACCCGAAAGGCUCCUCGCACUGCACACCAAUCUCCUCAAUACCGCACAGCACGGCGGCAAUACCGGAGCAGACCGGGAUCACGGACACGCCGCACGACCCGUACAGGGCGAACGGCAGCAGAGUCAGCCACGCGAACAGGAAGCGCGCGGUGUGGCGGGUGUAGGACACGGGGAUGGGGGCACGCAGCAGGCGCUCGCAGCCUCCCAGCACAUCGUGGAAGAAGGUCAGGUUGUUGCUCAUCUGCUGCUGGUGGAUGGAGCUCAUGGGCACCGACUGGAUGAUCUGUGGGGAGGGCACGUGGCGGGUAACGCAAGCUCACAAAUGGGUGUUGGGUGAUGCAUGUUGCUGCGAUUUCCAUUGUUGCAUGUUCCAACUGUGAUCUGCACGCGCGAAGAGGAGUCCACGUGCGCACCUGGCUGAUGGCGUGGAUGGCGCGGACGGGGCGGUGCUGGCUCUUCGCAAGCAUCUGCAGCUCCGCUGGGGUCAGGAUGUUCUUCAGCUCGCUCUCAAUCGUGACCUCCGGCUGGAAGUGGAUGCGCAGAGCACGAGAGAAAGCAACCACCCAGCGGGCCAGGGCCUUCUUGGCCUCCACCUGGUCAUCCGGGAAGCAGGUCGCGCCCUGGCGCAUGAUGUCACGGCUGCGGUUCAGCAGGCCACCCCACAUCUUGCGUGCCUCAUCCCACCGUCCGUAGGACGAGUUGGUGCGGAACACCAGCAGCAGCGACAGCGCCACGCUAGUGUUGGAGAUGAAGGCGGAGCACGCGGCGUUGGGCGCGAGGGUGGGGAAGCCCUCGGGCAGCAUGUGCUGAUCAUAGCCGUACAUGUAGGCGGCGACGCAGGUGGAGGUGAAGGCCACCCACAUGAUGGACGGCAGCGCGUUUUGGAUCACGUGGGAUCUGUGGAGCAAGAGGCACACGUGGACGCAGACGCAUCAGUAAGCUACAUGGUCAGGACAUGUCAGGCAUAUGUUUACCGGCCAGCACGAGCAGGCAGGCUGUGCCAAGCAGGGGCUGGCAUGGGGAACCCUAGGAGAACGGCUCCCCUCCGGCCGUGUCAUGCUAGUGCCCGGCAACUUACUGGGGAAUGGAGAACAAGCGCUUCAUAAGGCGGUACUGGUUGCGGUGCGUCUGCCACUGAGGGAAGUCGUAGACCGUGCGGAAGUACUUGCGCGCCUCCUCGGAACGGGGCAGGGUAGGCUGGUUCUGCAGCUGGCUGCUGAAGGAGCCCAGCGGGUUCGACUGCAGGUGCAUCAUGGGCUUAGCUUACUUAGAGAGCGUAGCAGGACAGGGCGCCUAUCGAAUUGCGCAAACAUCCGGGCGUCAUGCUGGCGUUAAGGCAAACAUGUCCAACUGUGCCCUCGCGAGGAUUGUAAAAGGUUUUGCGCUCAUCAUGACCUAUGUUCGCCGCUGCUCUAAACGUUCGCAAAAGGGCCGCUGCGCAGAACACGCGCGUCAGUCGCUCGGCUGAAGCAAUCUGUGCUCCCACCUGAAUGGGCGCAUUAGGGUCCUUGUUGGCUGCCUGGCACCGAACACCGAGGUGGCACACACGUCCGGCGCGAAGUGGGAGGCGAGGGAGCGCGCUGCUGCCGGCGCGACCCAUGGCGACAGGGCGUGAAGAAAGGCACUGCAUUUUUGUCACGCUACACUAUUAGUCAACGCAAGUGAAGUGGCACAAAGCUGAACAGGAAUGUCAGGGUAGAACUUUCGCGCGCUUGACUGGGGUUAAAAAGGGGCAGUGGGCGGUGAAACCUCCGACCCAUGCAGCGCGCGACGUCGACCGUCCGCACUCAACUCCAGGCGUGACGUGUGGCAUAGUGGUGUCCUGUAUGUGAAUGGUGCGCCUGUCCUAUGCUACUAUCGGCGUCAAACGGUCUUUCGUCAGCCAUUGACAUUUUGCUCGCGCUCGCGUGACAGCCCAAAUCAUGCUUGAGCCUGAGGCCAAUGAAGGCAACGGAGUUUGUCUUGUGUGCAUACCGAAUGGGUGGUCUCACGAACCUGAUUCCAUGCCAAGGGUGCAGCCGCACGGUGCAGCCGGGGUUGCGGGCGCCUGCAGGGCAGCGCUCGUAUCUUACGAAGGCAGGGGCGGCGUCAGUGGCCGAAUUCCUUAAAAUGGCUUCGUUUAGUUGACGAAACAGGCUGCCGCCGCUUCGUUGACCCCCAAAAUUUUUCCGGGGGCUCCGCCCCCGACCCGCACGAUGUCGACACCGACACGACACGCCCACUCCUCCCCUGCUUCCUGCCGACCCAACCUCACUCUCCCGCCAGGGGAACCCCUGUCUCCCGCCGUCAACACCCAUAGAUACAGCCCUUUGAGCCUUCUUACCAUAUGCCACGCAGGUUUCGGCCGUGGAGUAGCCGCUGGACCCCCCUGUCCUUGGCCAAAAGUGGCCGAAAUCCCAAAAAUGUCUUCGUCUGUUUGCCGAAAUACCCCCCAAGAUCCCGUGCGUUUUGGCCGAAAUUUCAUGUUAACAUCACAAAAAUUUCGUCCGCCAGAGGCCUUUUUGGGCAAAUUUCGUUUCGAACGAAGGAAGAUACGAGCGCUGCUGCAGGGGCUGCCGGGGUUGCUCCCUGCGCCCCUCCCGUUGGCACGCUGGGCUGGCGGGUAGGGCCAAUGCAGGGUCACCAUUGGCUGGAAGAAAGCUACAGGGGCGGGUUGUUGGACAGUACCAUGUAGCAACAACAUGAGCGCUUGAGUCCGGGGCUCUGGGCAAAUGGACAGCCGCCCCGCUUGUACCGUACUGCCCCACUGUCCCACCGCACACGUAGGCUGCCAUGCAGGGCCAUGCUCGGAUGCUCCCACGACCCCAUUAUGGCAGCUUAGCGAACCUGCCAUGUGGGCAUUGGACACUACUGAACUAAGAAGAGUAGCGGCAAGGCGGGCAUCGGCGGACACCAGCAGGCAGCCUCCUGCUUGGACUUGCGUGUCAGCUGGUCCCUUGCGUCACCAAUGCGAUCUUUUGUCCGGCCGGGCCACGCGCUCACGCGUUGCCGUCGCAGCUAAUUUGUUGCAUGCUAGGGUCUGACCAGUGGCCAUUCCCUGCACACUGCAGGACUACGCCACUGAUGCCCCCAGAUGCCCUUGAAUGUCUUGUUUUGCUCCCCUUGGGAUCGGAAUAAACUGCCCCCUCCCCCAGCCCUCCCCGUCCCAACUCAGGCCGUCAGGGGGGCACAGCUGCGAGCCACACACACCAGCAGACCCCAGCGCCCACAGAUAGGGCGUCGAGCCCCAGGACCGGGAGGACUGGCAGCAUUCGGCUCAGUCUGGUAGCCUGGUUACAGUGCAUGACAGGAGUGUCCCUGUAACAUGCAAUAUCCGCGAUAUACCCCUGACUGCGAAGAGAGCCUGUCGGUCCGCUACUGUCCGCUGUCGUGUUACGUGCAUCAACGCUCUAGCCCGUAACCUCAUCAAGUUAAUGUCUUCUGCAACUCACCCCACAGUAACAUACCUUCAUUUGUAUGCAUCGCCUACUCGCAGGCAGUCACGUACACUCUCUCGGCCACCCGCGGGUUAUCCCUUGGGUAAUGUGCCGAUCCGAAACCAACAAUACCCACCACAGGCGCCGAACUCCGACCACAUCUUCUUCACCCUGCCUACCAAUGCCUUAUUUGUACAGAGUGUAGUGUGCACACUCGGAAAAACAGUACAGGGCACGCGUGACGUCUUCUUGACUAGCGGAAGUUGGUACACACCGCGCCAAUAUACGCUCGUUAUUGUGUUCGUGUGUCAGGGCAACUGGACCACCCCAUGCUAGUAUUCAUGGCCGCACAUGAAUAGUGUGACGACUUCAACCUCUCACGCACCCAUGACACAGGACCGGCUUGUGAGGACCUCGGGGGUGCGCAAUAUACAACCUCAUAACCACCCCCAUAUCUGCGGCUCAAACUCAGGUUCGUGUCUGCAUUGCGCCAGUGCUGUGUUAUGUGUAAAUGGCACCAACGCGUCAGACAUUAUGCAUACGGCCAUCCGGCCGCACCAUGCGCGGAAUGAGAUGGUGUACUUUUGUGCAACCACCUGGAACGCUUCCAAACCAAUUUUCCCUCAUGCUCCAGCCAGGCACUUAGGCUCGGCAGUACGGCCGUGCAUGCACGCACCCCGCUGCGUGCAUCGCAGCCGUGGCGCAUGUGCAACCAGCCACGAAAACACAGGAAUGCACGCAUCACUGCCUCACACUCCCCUUGUUGCCUCCUAGUACACACGCGGGCGCGCAGGAGCCAUCCGCGCCUUGCACACGGGCAUCACCUCGCCGCCGCUGAUGCCUCGCGCACGUUGCCGUCAUGCCGCUGCAGUUUCCAAGCCCAUCGCGCCACGGUUAGCCCCGCCGCUAGCACCAGAGCUGUUAGGACCACGCCGUGCGUAAGCUGGUGCCCAGGUUACACCGAAGCCACCUCGCCCGGCUGCUGGCUGCCGCGCGGGCCACCGCCGCGCUGCCGUGAGUGCUGCCCGCCGUGGAACCGGCCGCAUGUCAACGCGGGCCCCCAGCUACAGCUACGGUAGCCCGCUGGAAGCUGCCAAACCCCCGGCCGCGCACUCCCCGCACACAGCAACAUAGCACCUUGCUCUUACACCCAGCGCCGGGCCUUCUACCGGGGCGAGAUGCGCACGUUCAUGCUGCCGGAGGACGAGGUGACAGUCACAGGCGCCAGCACCGGCGGCGGCACCUGAGUGCUCACCGGCUUGCUGCCAUUGCCGUUUGAGUGGCUGGCAGCGCCGUUGCCGUUGGCCGCGGCGAGAGCGGCGGCGGCCGCGGCGGUCACGGGGUCCGAGGGCGACGCGUGCUCCGUAGGCGGCAGCGACAUGGACGGGAUUAGGCUGAUGAGUCCGGCCUCCGCCAGGACGGUCUUGGUGUCCGCGUCGUCCUUCAGCGUGGCCAUGACGUCGGCCUGGAUGCGGUUGCAGAUCACGUCCAGGGGCAGGAUGCUGCAGGCAGGGGUGAAGACGAGUAAGGGGCGAGGUCAACGUGCUGAGAAGGGGCAGAGACAGGAACGGCAAGAAUCAGAACACGAUGCUGCAGGCAAUAGCCAGACACGCUCUGUCUCAGCAGACCGCAAGUCCUUAUCACUGUAGGUCUGUAGGCGGUUGCCUAUUUGACAGCCCGCAGCAACCACCCCGCUUUGACCUGCCUAGACUCACCCGAAGGGCUCCUCGCACUGCACGCCAAUCUCCUCAAUACCGCACAGCACGGCGGCAAUGCCCGUGCAUACCGGGAUCACGGACACGCCGCACGACCCGUACAGGGCGAACGGCAGCAGAGUCAGCCACGCGAACAGGAAGCGCGCGGUGUGGCGGGUGUAGGACACGGGGAUGGGGGCACGCAGCAGGCGUUCGCAGCCUCCCAGCACAUCGUGGAAGAAGGUCAGGUUGUUGCUCAUCUGCUGCUGGUGGAUGGAGCUCAUGCGCACCGACUGGAUGAUCUGUGGGGAGGGCACGUGGCGGGUAACGCAAGCUCACAAAUGGGUGUUGGGUGAUGCAUGUUGCUGCGAUUUCCAUUGUUGCAUGUUCCAACUGUGAUCUGCACGCGCGAAGAGGAGUCCACGUGCGCACCUGGCUGAUGGCGUGGAUGGCGCGCACGGGGCGGUGCUGGCUCUUCGCAAGCAUCUGCAGCUCCGCCGG